CAAUCAGACUCCCUCUUAGGUCUGGUAGGGACAGGGCUGAUGUAACCACUAGGCAAACUAGACACCAAGAUUUGGGGGUGCCAAAAAGCAGUGUCUGGCAUUAUGGGAGUCAGCUGAGCGGGGGGGGGGGAGAGGCCUCCAUAACAAACCUGUCCCCGCAGCGAAGGGCACCGCGCAGGACAGUCAGUGGGAGCCUGCGGCGGAGCAAGGAGGAGACAGCCAGCUGGGUGCGGCGACCAGCACAGCUGAGGGACGGAGCCAUUGAGGGAGGCAGGAAGUGGUCCUGAGCUCAGUAGGCCCAGAGAGCGGCACGUGGCUUGAAGUACUGCAACAUCCCUUUAGACUUGAGACCUGGAGCUGCUCUUGACAAGCCAGUUGUCGAGGUACGGGUAGAUCUGGAUGCCCCGGUGCCUGAGGGCACUGCCGUCGAAGGGCAAGUCCUGCAAUGACUGCUGGGCCUUGGUGGGCAACCCAGAGAGGAGCAGCCAGGAGCCUCGCCGCAUAGACACAGCAGAAGCCAUGGUGUGGGCAGCAGCAGCAGCACCCCCCGAUGCCACCUGGAGGGCCACCCUGGCCGCAGUCGUGCCCUCAUUGAGGAUUGCUUGGAACUCCUUCUUGGAAGCCUCAGGGAGUGACCCUUCGAACUUGGCCAUAGCUUGCCACAUAUUAAAAUCAU
Mauremys mutica (yellowpond turtle) is the source of this 676-nucleotide long non-coding RNA. RefSeq lists it as uncharacterized. The record is from RefSeq and is a predicted model, not a curated record. The transcript is spliced from 3 exons. Lineage: Eukaryota; Metazoa; Chordata; Testudines; Geoemydidae.